AAAAUUUUAACUUCUUUUCUAUAGAAUUGUUUUUCAAAGUAUUUUUUUAAACACUACUAAAAAGCCCAACUCACCGCGUUUCAAAAAAAUAUCUAAGCUCAAACCCUAUUCCACCCCGCAGUCGCCGACAUUCGUGAUAAUGCUUGUCCAUAUUGUUUGUGUUUCUGCUUCUCUUGGCUCUCAAUAAUGAACUAAUGACACUGGAUUUUCCAACUAUCAGCAUGUUUCAACCUUCAGCUACUCAUUUUUGCCCAAAACAUCAUCCUUUUUAUUUGCAUUGAGCAAAUUUGUAGUGUUCUUUUCAGUAGUUGGAAGAAAUUUGAUAAGAAACAGUUUGGCAGACUUGAAGCAUUCCGUUACUUUUAUGAACUGUUUAAACGGAAAGCUCUGUUGUGCUACCCUGCUGUUCCGAAGACGGUGGGAGGAAGAUUACUAAUGGAAAACAGAUGCAGUGUUGUCUUCAACUUGUUUGGGCUUUGUUUUGUUGAUGUAAAACUUUAGAACAAAAAGUGAAUUUGCUUUUUUCAACUUUCUAUUGGUUAACUUAAGCUAUGAGUACUAUGCUGGAACUGCAAUUUCCACAUUUGGCAAAAUUUAGUGUUCUUUUAUUUAAUUAAUCCCCUCAAAUCAUGUCAAUAACAAUUCUAUGGCUGUUGGCAAGAAGUUGGAAUUUGUGAAAGAUAA
Long non-coding RNA from Gossypium raimondii (Peruvian cotton), 684 nucleotides. RefSeq lists it as uncharacterized. NCBI's taxonomy places the organism in Eukaryota, Viridiplantae, Streptophyta, Magnoliopsida, Malvales, Malvaceae. The record is from RefSeq and is a predicted model, not a curated record. The transcript is spliced from 2 exons.